This 138-nucleotide small nucleolar RNA is filed under the name Ornithorhynchus anatinus (platypus). Lineage: Eukaryota; Metazoa; Chordata; Mammalia; Monotremata; Ornithorhynchidae. The record is from RNAcentral.
UCCCUCUCAGGGUCGCACCUGGAGAGUUUCCGGUACUCUACCAGUCUUGACUACGGGAGGGAGGGUCAAGCAGAGGCUUACCCAUUCCAGUCCUAGCUUGGACAGUGGCUAGCGGAUGGAAGGCAAGCUGCUACAAGU